RNAcentral lists this transfer RNA (73 nucleotides) under Zea mays. It matches the Rfam family "tRNA". Rfam says of the family: Transfer RNA (tRNA) molecules are approximately 80 nucleotides in length. Their secondary structure includes four short double-helical elements and three loops (D, anti-codon, and T loops). Lineage: Eukaryota; Viridiplantae; Streptophyta; Magnoliopsida; Poales; Poaceae. The record is from Rfam by way of RNAcentral.
GCUUGUCUAGCUCAGUCGGUAAAAUACAAGGCUCUUAACCUUGUUGUCAUGGGUUCAAACCCCAUGGUGGGCG